GUGGUUAAGGUGGGGGUUUGAGCUCCUUUUUUUUGGGGUGGUGUAGCUGGGUUUAUGGGUGCUGUUAAUUCUAUUUAUUUAUUUUUUUGCAGCAGCAGCUUUAGGCUGCGUUUUUGGCAGGAAGAUGAGGAGUGAGCUGGGGGUUUUUCUUUGUUCUUCCCUUUUUUUUUCGUUUUUCUUUUUGUGUCUCUUGGGUGGUGUUGGAGUGUUUGGAUUAAUUGGCAGCCAAGCAAAUGAGUGUGUGUAUUUAUCUUUAGGUAGGGAGAAGGGGCCUAGGGUUAAGGGAUUGGACUUGGAUUUAGGAAAUUGGGUUGGGUCCAUGUCUUGUUGGGUUUUAAUUUUGGGCUAAGAAGACUAAAAUAAUAUAAUGUAUUUAUAUAAAUCACUCUUAAUAAACUACUAAAGUAAAAUUAAAUAUUAAAAGUAAAACUAUAUUUUUAUAUUUUUAAAUGUUAUAAUAAAGUAAAAAUAAAGAAAAUAGGCUAAAGUCAUGGUAAAAUUAUAAUACUAUAAACAUAAAUAUACUAACUGGCCUUAAACUAAAAAUAAAAAUAUUUUUGAGUUUUUAAAUUAUAAUUUGAAGUAAAAAUUGAUUUAAACUCUAUAAAAAUUAAAGUUAAGUUAAAUAAA
This 630-nucleotide long non-coding RNA is filed under the name Nicotiana tabacum (common tobacco). RNAcentral describes it as "long non-coding RNA (NTAB_LNC018123)". Lineage: Eukaryota; Viridiplantae; Streptophyta; Magnoliopsida; Solanales; Solanaceae. The record is from RNAcentral.